GUUACGAUUUGUUGCAAGGUUAAGCGGAAAAAGCGGAGCCGUAGCGAAAGCGAGUCUGAAUAGGGCGCAUAAGUAACAGGUCGUAGACCCGAAACCAGGUGAUCUACCCAUGUCCAGGAUGAAGGUAAGGUAAUACUUACUGGAGGUCCGAACCCACGCACGUUGAAAAGUGCGGGGAUGAGGUGUGGGUAGCGGAGAAAUUCCAAUCGAACUUGGAGAUAGCUGGUUCUCUCCGAAAUAGCUUUAGGGCUAGCCUCGAGGUAAAGAGUCAUGGAGGUAGAGCACUGUUUGGACUAGGGGCCCUUCUCGGGUUACCGAAUUCAGAUAAACUCCGAAUGCCAUGUACUUAUACUCGGGAGUCAGACUGCGAGUGAUAAGAUCCGUAGUCGAAAGGGAAACAGCCCAGACCACCAGUUAAGGUCCCCAAAUAUAUGUUAAGUGGAAAAGGAUGUGGGGUUGCUUAGACAACCAGGAUGUUGGCUUAGAAGCAGCCACCAUUGAAAGAGUGCGUAAUAGCUCACUGGUCGAGUGACCCCGCGCCGAAAAUGUACCGGGGCUAAACAUAUUACCGAAACUGUGGAUGAACCUCUUUAGAGGUUCGUGGUAGGAGAGCGUUCUAAGGGCGGUGAAGUCAGACCGGAAGGACUGGUGGAGCGCUUAGAAGUGAGAAUGCCGGUAUGAGUAGCGAAAGAAGGGUGA
Molecule: ribosomal RNA, 699 nt
Filed under: Listeria monocytogenes
Lineage: Bacteria; Bacillati; Bacillota; Bacilli; Caryophanales; Listeriaceae
Description: partial 23S ribosomal RNA
Rfam family: Bacterial large subunit ribosomal RNA
Source: RNAcentral